GUCUUGUUCCCAGGGAGUUGGGCUCCUUCCUUCUCCAGACUUUUGUAAACAUGGGCAGUGGUACAUUUAGUACAAGAGCAGCACCUUCUCUCUAGAUCAGGGGAGAAAACAAUCUCCACUCUCUUAUUGCAACGUGUUGGGGGAUCGUAUACACAAAGGGAAAUCAGAUGUGAGAGACUAGAAGUAACAGAUAAAGUCCAUCACGCAUCAAAUAUCUGCAGAAACUACUGUAGGUUGACAAGAUCAAGACAAAACAGAUCGAAUUCCCAGGGUGUGUUUCAGCUGUUGGGAAGCAACAUGGAGGGUCAGAUGAUCAUGAAGGCAGGAGCUGUGUUUUAUUUUCCAUGAAUUCUCUGUGCCGCCCAGUCAAUGUUUGCUGCAUUAAAUCCAGGCACACUUGGUAUAGAAAAUGCAACCUUGUGCCUAUGUUAGUUCUCAUAUUGAAUAUGUCUGGGCCUCUGCCAAUCUUUUCUGUUCUUUGCACUUCACAAAUUGGUGACAGGGCAGCAGAUAC
Long non-coding RNA from Heterocephalus glaber (naked mole-rat), 514 nucleotides. Lineage: Eukaryota; Metazoa; Chordata; Mammalia; Rodentia; Bathyergidae. The record is from Ensembl.